This 392-nucleotide ribosomal RNA is filed under the name uncultured bacterium. RNAcentral describes it as "bacterial SSU rRNA". It matches the Rfam family "Bacterial small subunit ribosomal RNA", at positions 975 to 1368 of the family's 1533-position model. The record is from RNAcentral.
CUGGGUUUGACAUCGCCGGAAAACUCGCAGAGAUGUGGGGUCCUUCGGGGCCGGUGACAGGUGGUGCAUGGCUGUCGUCAGCUCGUGUCGUGAGAUGUUGGGUUAAGUCCCGCAACGAGCGCAACCCUCGUCCCAUGUUGCCAGCAAGUGAUGUUGGGGACUCAUGGGAGACUGCCGGGGUCAACUCGGAGGAAGGUGGGGAUGACGUCAAGUCAUCAUGCCCCUUAUGUCCAGGGCUUCACGCAUGCUACAAUGGCCGGUACAAACCGUUGCGAGCCCGUGAGGGGGAGCGAAUCGGAAAAAGCCGGUCUCAGCUCGGAUCGGGGUCUGCAACUCGACCCCGUGAAGUCGGAGUCGCUAGUAAUCGCAGAUCAGCAACGCUGCGGUGAAUA